Molecule: ribosomal RNA, 484 nt
Filed under: uncultured bacterium
Lineage: Bacteria
Description: partial 16S ribosomal RNA
Rfam family: Bacterial small subunit ribosomal RNA
Source: RNAcentral
AUUGAACGCUGGCGGCAGGCCUAACACAUGCAAGUCGAGCGGAUGAAGGGAGCUUGCUCCUGGAUUCAGCGGCGGACGGGUGAGUAAUGCCUAGGAAUCUGCCUGGUAGUGGGGGAUAACGUCCGGAAACGGGCGCUAAUACCGCAUACGUCCUGAGUGAGAAAGUGGGGGAUCUUCGGACCUCACGCUAUCAGAUGAGCCUAGGUUGGAUUAGCUAGUUGGUUGGGUAAAGGCCUACCAAGGCGACGAUCCGUAACUGGUCUGAGAGGAUGAUCAGUCACACUGGAACUGAGACACGGUCCAGACUCCUACGGGAGGCAGCAGUGGGGAAUAUUGGACAAUGGGCGAAAGCCUGAUCCAGCCAUGCCGCGUGUGUGAAGAAGGUCUUCGGAUUGUAAAGCACUUUAAGUUGGGAGGAAGGGCAGUAAGUUAAUCCCUUGCUGUUUUGACGUUACCAACAGAAUAAGCACCGGCUAACUUCGUG